This 293-nucleotide ribosomal RNA is filed under the name uncultured eukaryote. RNAcentral describes it as "partial 18S ribosomal RNA". It matches the Rfam family "Eukaryotic small subunit ribosomal RNA", at positions 6 to 302 of the family's 1831-position model. The record is from RNAcentral.
GGUUGAUCCUGCCAGUAGUCAUAUGCUUGUCUUAAAGAUUAAGCCAUGCAUGUCUAAGUAUAAGUAUUAUACAGCGAAACUGCGAAUGGCUCAUUAAAACAGUUAUAGUUUAUUCGAUUAUUCUCCUCUACAUGGAUAACCGUAGUAAUUCUAGAGCUAAUACAUGCUGCAAGACCUGACUUUUGUGGAAGGGUUGUAUUUAUUAGAUAUAAAACCAAUACUCUCGCAAGGGAGGAUUGUGAUGAUUCAUAAUAACUGAGCGGAUCGCGGCCAAGCCGUGACGAAUCGUUCAA